This 253-nucleotide ribosomal RNA is filed under the name uncultured organism. RNAcentral's name for it is "partial 16S ribosomal RNA". It matches the Rfam family "Bacterial small subunit ribosomal RNA", at positions 524 to 776 of the family's 1533-position model. The record is from RNAcentral.
UACGAAGGGAGCUAGCGUUGUUCGGAAUUACUGGGCGUAAAGGGCGCGUAGGCGGCUUGAUAAGUUUGGUGUGAAAGCCCUGGGCUUAACCUAGGAAUAGCAUUGAAUACUGUCAGGCUAGAGGCCGAGAGAGGGAAAUGGAAUUGCGAGUGUAGAGGUGAAAUUCGUAGAUAUUCGCAAGAACACCAGUGGCGAAGGCGAUUUCCUGGCUCGGUACUGACGCUAAUGCGCGAAAGCGUGGGGAGCAAACAGG